AAUAGAUACCCGGGUAGUCCAUGCCGUAAACGUUGGGCGCUAGAUGUGGGGACCAUUCCACGGUUUCCGUGUCGCAGCUAACGCAUUAAGCGCCCCGCCUGGGGAGUACGGCCGCAAGGCUAAAACUCAAAGGAAUUGACGGGGGGCCCGCACAAGCGGCGGAGCAUGCGGAUUAAUUCGAUGCAACGCGAAGAACCUUACCAAGGCUUGACAUAUACGAGAACGCUCUAGAAAUAGAGAACUCUUUGGACACUCGUAUACAGGUGGUGCAUGGUUGUCGUCAGCUCGUGUCGUGAGAUGUUGGGUUAAGUCCCGCAACGAGCGCAACCCUCGUUCUAUGUUGCCAGCAGUUCGGCCGGGAACUCAUAGGAGACUGCCGGGGUCAACUCGGAGGAAGGUGGGGAUGACGUCAAAUCAUCAUGCCCCUUAUGUCUUGGGCUUCACGCAUGCUACAAUGGCCGGUACAAAGGGCUGCAAUACCGUAAGGUGGAGCGAAUCCCAAAAAGCCGGUCUCAGUUCGGAUUGAGGUCUGC
RNAcentral lists this ribosomal RNA (533 nucleotides) under uncultured bacterium. RNAcentral describes it as "bacterial SSU rRNA". It matches the Rfam family "Bacterial small subunit ribosomal RNA", at positions 777 to 1308 of the family's 1533-position model. The record is from RNAcentral.